Molecule: long non-coding RNA, 7351 nt
Filed under: Homo sapiens (human)
Lineage: Eukaryota; Metazoa; Chordata; Mammalia; Primates; Hominidae
Description: HSALNT0125727
Source: RNAcentral
UUCUCAAUCUGCAUUUUAUUUUAUGGUCCACAAGAGAUAUUUAUUUGAUACAAUAAUACAGUUAGUGUUCCAUCCAACAACUAGAACAAAAGGAAUAAAACUUUGUAUAUAUACAUAAAAACUCAAGAUAUUUAAUGUGACAAGUAUAUAUAUUUAAAAUAAUGCUCUUAAAAUUCCUUAGUUAUUGAAAAUAUAAAAACAAAAAGAUGUUCAUAGAAACAGAAUGCAUGAAACCAAAUAUCAAAGUUUGAGCAAAUUAAUAUGUGAGGCAACUUAGCUAACAAUGCAUGAUUUUCUUGUUUACAAUCUACUAAAAAUAUCUUUAUAUCAACUGAGUGGCAAAAUAGGUUUAAUAAACUCAGACACCUACCGACAGAGUAUUACUUUCUUUUGAGCUGGUAGUGACCACAGAAAUGUCAGAUCAUUUCUCUGAAUGAAGCAUUUUAUUCAAGUAACACAAAACUUCCAGACAUAUUUUCAUAAUAUAUUUAAUCAUUUCUUCAUGUGAUAUUUAUAGAUAAUUUGAAUUUUCUGGUGUAGUUACGUGGAUAUAUUGUGUAGUAGUGAAGUCUGAGCUUUUAGUGUAACCAUCACCUGGAUAAUGUACAUUGUACCCACUAGGUAAUUUUUCUUCCCUCAGGAUCCUCCCUCCUCCCACCCUUGAGAGUCUCCAAUGUCUAUUACUCCACAACCUGUCCACGUGUACACAUAUUUAGCUCCCAACUAUGAGAACAUGUGAUAUUUCACUGUUUCUGAGUUAUUGCACUUACGUAUUAUGUAAUAUAUAACACACUUCAUACAUGUAACAUACAUGGAAGGUGUUGAAACAAAGUAAAAUCAUGACCCCCUACCCCAUUUACCUAAAUAUUACCUACCCUAUAUACCAAAGUACCUGUGCAGUCCUCUAAUAUCUUCUCUUACCUCCUUAUCACCAAUUAUUCUGAAAUAUGUUUCUCUUUUUAAAUUUAUUUUUAAUUCACAAAUAAAAAUUCUCUAUAUUUAUCAUAUACAAAACAAUGUUUUGAAGUAUGUGUACAUUGUAGAAUGGCUAAAUCCAGCUAACAUAUACAUAACAAUGCAUGUGUUUCUCAUUCUUAAUGUUAAUAUUCAGGUCCAUAUCCAUUAUUAAAAAACCUCAGGACCAGAUGUAUUUCAGAUUCAGAUUGUUUUUAUCAAUUUCAGAAAGAUUAUAUAGGGCAUAUCUUAUAUAUUAUGAUUAUUCCCAACAGAGUCUAGAGAGAAUUCAGUAGUCAAACUCAUCAAUAUAUCCCAGGGCACAAUGGGUGAACAUUUACAUCUGCUAUAAAUAAACACUAUGAAUAGCCUUAUGUUGUCUGUUUUUGCCACCAAACGAGGUUGCAUAUAAAAACAAACUUUCACAUCUCAUGGCCUUAUGGAUUUUGGAAUUCCAGCUAAAGAGCUUAGAUCUGCUGUUUAACUUAUCAAACUUUUCUCAUUUAGUUAAUCCUUUAUGUAUUUUGUUUAAGAAACCUUUCUACUCUGAAAUAAUAAAGGUAUUCAUUUAAAUUUUUUUCUUACUUGUAAAGUUUUAUCUUUCCUAAUAUAUUUAAUUUAUCCAGAAAUCUUUUUUGUAUAUAAGAAUGAAUUCUAUUUUCUUUUCUCCUCUAUGGAUAAAUAACUAUCACUGUAAAAUUUAUAAAACUCCACCUCAGUUAUAUAUCUUAUUUCUGUACAUGAAGAGGUCUACUUCUGGACUUACUGUUGCACAAAUUUUUACCUUUGCACUAAGACCACACUAUUUUAAUUAGCUUAGCUUGAUAGCAGGCCUGGUAGUUGGUAGAGCUAUUCUCUUAACCUUAUUCUUAUUCAUCAGGAGUGCCCUGGCUCUUCUUGACCCCUUGAUCUUCUAUUCAAAUAUUAUCAUAAACUAGUCAGGUUCCUCAAAAACCACUUUUGGGAGUAGGAUUGGAUUUUCCCUGAAACUCUCAUUUAAUUUAAAGAAAAUUGACAUCUUAGCAAUAUUGAUUUUUCCUAACUGAAUAUGGGCACCUCUCUGCAUUUAUUUUUUUAAUGUAUUUCAAUAAAAUUUUAUAAUUUUCUCUAUACUGGCAUUGCACAUAUUUUGUUACACUUAUUCCUGAGUACAUUAUCAUUUUUGUUUAUACUGAAAAUGGUGGGUUUAAAGUUUCGCUUUCUAUGUAUUGCUGGUGUUUAGAAAUACAACUGACUUUUGUUUUUGAUCUCAUAUCUAGUCACUUUCCUAAUAAACCUAUUUUUAUUCUAAGAAACUAUCUCUAUAUUCUUUGGAUUUUCCAUAUAAACAAUACUAUUUGUAGAUAACAGUUUUGUUUCUUCUCUUCAAAAACAUAUUCAUUUAUUUUACUUAUAUUUCAUCGACUAGAAACUUCAGUGUAAUAUUGAAAAGGAAGAGCAAUAGAAGGAAUUAUUGUCUUAUUCUUAAUUUUAAAAGGAAUAUUUCCAAAAUUUAUCAUUAAGAAUGGUGUUUGCUGUAAAGUUUUGAUAAAUACUUAUAUUGCUGAGUUAGAAAGGUAGUAAUCAUGAAUGGAUGUUUAAUUACACGAAAUGAUUUUCUGCUUUCAGUGAGAUGAGCAAAUGAUAUUUUUCCUUUAUAAAUGUGGGGAAACAUAUUCAUUGAUUUUAUGAUGUUAAAAUACCUUUAUAUUUCUGGGAUAAAUGCAACUUGAUCAUAAUGUAUUAUCAUUUUUAUACACUGCUAGAUUUGGUUUGUUAGUACUGUGUUUUUCAUUUUGGCAUUGACAUCUGUGAGUAAAAUCAGACCAUAAUUUUUUUUCACAUAUAGUCCUUAACUGUGUUUUGGUAUUAGAAUAUAAGUUGUGUAGAAUUUCCUCUUUGUCCAUUACCUAAAAGAAUUUUUAUGAAGUUAGAAUGAUCUGUUUUGCUUAAAAAUUUAAAGAAUUCAUUGAUAAAAUUGAGCUUACUAUUUUUAAUAUGGGGAGGUUUAAAAUUACUAAUCUGAAUUUCCAUUUCUUAUUGAGUCAGUUUUAAUAGGUUUUAAUUUUUCUACAAAUCUAUACAUUUUAUGUUUCAAUUUUUUUCUUAAAAAAUCAUGCAUAAUAUUAUUUUGCUUUGGCUUUGUCUUUGUGACUUAGUAAAUUCUGCCACAGGAUUAUAUGUAUUACUUGUCUAUUAAAAUAACUUUCUUCUUUCUUUCUUCUCUUCAUUAUAUGUUUUCUGUUUCAUUAAUUUAUCUUAUUUAUUAUCUUUUAUUCUAUUUUCCUUGAAUUUAUUUUACUGAUUCUUUGUGUAAAAUCUUAAGUUGAAUUACCAGCAAAUUAAUUUUCAGACUUUUUGUAUUCUAUUGUAAGUAUUAAAGGACACACACAUACCCCUUCAAAAGAUUCAAUAUUCUUCGUUUUAUGUUAAUUUUAUUAUUAGUCAGCUCUAAGUAUUUGUUAUCCAUUACCAAAUGGAUGAAGACUGUGAAAUUCAUUGCUUAAUUUAUUUCUAUCUUAAUAAUACUGAGAUCUGUAUAACAUUCUUCGAAAUAAAUAAAACUCUAGUAUUUAAAGCUUCAGAUAUAGUAGAAAAUAAUGUGUAUUCUCUGAUUGUUGGAAAUACAGUUCUAUGUGUGCCCCUGAAAUCAAGCUUGUUGAUAGGUUGUUCAAAUUCUUCAUAUUAUUAUAUUGUUUGUCUGAUGUUCUAAAAAUAAAAAUAUAGGGAGUUUGUGAAUCUGUUAAUUUUUUCUAGUAGCCAAUUUCUCCUGUAGUUCUAUCAUAUUUUGCUUCAUAUAUUUUGGUGUUUAGCUAGACCCAUACAGGUUUAGUACUGUUAUUCUUCUGGUGAAUUGAAACUCUCACUGUUUAUAAAUAUUUAUUUUAUCUUUAAAAAUGCUCUGUGUUUUAAGUUUUAUUUUAUUCAAUUUAAUACAGCUACCACAGCUUGCUUGCUUGCUCACUUGCUUUGCUUGCCUUGCUGCUUUUUCUAUGUUUAAAUUCACCAAACUGAGCAAUGGAAUCUUUCCAGCACCCCAGGAACCCCCUGGUGUUCCCUACUCAUCACUACCCCCAUACAUUCCAGAGGGUUAACAUUCACAACUUCUUUAUUUUGUUUUGUAUGUUCCUGGUUAUCUCUUUUUCCAUUCUUUUAUGAUCAGUCCCCCUAAGUUUCUAUAUUUCCCUUCAAUCCAGUCUGACAAUUUCUAUCUUUAACUUUUAGCAGUUAUAGUUAAAUUGCUAUAAUUAGGGGAUUUAUUACACCUAUAUUUAUUUAUGGUAUAAAUAACUGGUGAAUUUAAUUACAUUUAUUGUUCUUUGCAUAAGAUUAUUGUUUAUAAAUAUUUAUGUCUUUAACCUCAUAUCAUGGAAGCAGUCUUAGGACUGGCCAUAGGACUUGCUUUAGAAAAUAAUAUUUUAGCAGAUGUAACACAGCAUAAGGACUGAAUUAUGCUUGUUAUGUGUCUCUGCUGUAGCCAUUAGAAAAAUAUCCCUAGGUUAGCCAGCUGGUCCUACAAGGAGGAUGAAAGAUAUGUGGAGCAGAUCCAAACCACCUUAGCUCAGCAGAGCCCUCAGCAAACCUAAAGAUUCAUAAACACAGAUGCUUAUUGUGUUAAUCCACUGAGUUGUAGAAUGAUUUGUUACUAAUUUUGUGGCAAUAACUAAAUGAUACUUUCUUAUUCAUAUAUGUUUAUUUGUUUUUACUCUUUUGACUUGUGUGCUUCUUAUCUGUCUCACUAUUGUUUCCUUUUCCCUUAUGGAAGAAGAAAUAAUUGAAUUCUCUGUCAGUUUAUCUGUUUUUGUCUCAUUGCAAUUCUUCCUUCUGUUUGUUUAGAAAUUGUAAGUUCUAUUUCUAUUUUUGAAAGACACCCUUAAAAUUUUAUCAGGCAUAUUAAACAAAGCCUAAAGUCAGUCUUUUUUCCUAAAAACACAAGAGCUUCAUAAUAAUUUCAUUUCAAUCACUACUUCCCAAUAUACAUACUAUUUUUUUCUAGUAGGUUAGUUGUAUAUGUUUAACUCCCAAAUUGGGUAUUAUUAAAAUUAAUAUCUUAUACAGGUUAUUUUUGUCUAGAUAUCUUAAAAUAGCUCUGCUGUCUUUGCUUGCCACUUUUUCUUGCAGAUCUUCCAACUUUUUAAAAAAUAUAUAUGUUGCCUUUAUAAAUGAAGGUCUUGUAAUCAUAAAUUCUGCCAGUUUUUAUUUACAUUAAGUAUCUUUAUUUCAUUCUUGUUCUUAAAAUCUAAUUUUGAAGAGUAUAUAGUUUUUCCCAACAUAUUGAAUAUAUUAUUCUACUGUAUUUUGACAUCUAUUAUUGAGGUUGAAAAGUCUGCUGUUAGACUAUUUGCUACUCCUUUAUGGGUAAUAUGUAUUCCCUCUCUCUCUGGUUGUUAUCCAGAACUUUUCUUUGUCACUAAAAGUUUGCUAAAACUUUGCACAACAUGAAUUUAUUUUUUAUUCUGCUUGAGAUAUAUUCUGAUUCCCACAUGGGUGGACUUCUGUAUUUUAUCAAGUCUGAAAUUUUUUUUGGCCAUUGUGCCUUUAGGUAUUUCCUCAAAUAAAUGCACAUUAGUUCUUUCAUUCUACAAUGUCUCCCAUGACUCUUAAACUUUCUUUCAUAUUUUUUAUCUUCUACUUCUAUGCUACUUUUAGUGGAGCUUCUUUAGGUCUGUAUUUCAAUUCGGUCAUUCUCUCUUUAUGGCAUUAACUCUGUGGUUAACAUAUCCAUUAUGCUUUUAAUUUUGACUUGUUUUAAAUUUAGAGAUUCUAUGUGGAUGAUUUUCAAAUAUGCCUAGCCAUUUUGACAUAUUCUUGUUUCAGUAUUUUAUUUUAAAUUUGCUUUUUAAAAUUUUUAUAUAGGUAUUUAUAUUCCACAUAUGCAAAUUCUGAUAUUUGAAGUCCUUGUUGACAGUUAUCUGUUGUUUGCUGUCCUUUCAACUUUCACUCACAGUGGCUAGUUUCCUUGGGCAUUUUUACUACAAACUUGUUUUGUUGAACUUACUCUAUAGAAAUCCUAAGAUUCUAAAAUAGGAAUACUGAUCUCCAGGGAUAGGUAUGACAGCCAGAAGGUACCACUGAGCUAGGAUACUUUAUCCCACUUUGAGCAUCUUAAAUUAAUAUGAGAAUCUCAAGUUCAUCUCUUUCACCUUUCUGCUAACCCAGGGCUUAUUCUCUACUCCAAAAACUGAUAAGAGAUUUUUGACUGGAACAAUCCUAACUUUUACCUCUGGGUUUUUUUCUGUUUCAUAUUUUGUUUUAAUUUUUAAUUGACAUUUCGAGUUUUUUGAUUUGCCAUAGAGAUUUCCCUUACACCUUGAGAAGAGCAGCAAUCCACUAAAAAUUUUGUUUGUAUAAUUAUUGCAGGAUCAACGCAUUUAAAUGGUUGAGAGUUCAACUACCUAGUAACCAAUAUUGCCCCCAAAUAUUUUCACAACAUACUCUUUUUAAGGAUUCAAAACAACUUUAUGAAGGAUGGUGUAAUAUUAUCAUCAGUAUCAAAUACGAAAGCUGAGUCUUAAGUGAGUUAUUACUCUAAAGAUACAGAAUGCCAAAAGUAAACAUUUGUCAAAGCUGAAACCUUGAUGACAAAAUAAAACAAAUUUAUCCUGGAGCUUUGACCCAAAGAAUCCUUCAAUGUAACGUGACGUUCUUAUUAUAUCAAUAUUUUGUUUGUAUGAAACAAACUUUAUUACAAUAAUAUUUUAUAUUUUUUUAAAUUUGUAUAUCUACAAGCCUUAAAAACUAAAGGUUUCCUAACUUAGCAUUUACAUUUUUCUCAAAUUUUGUGAAGUUUAACCAAAUGCAUCAACAGGCGUUAGGAUUUAUGAAAGUUUAACUUUAAAAAUUAUUUUUAACUAUAACUUCACAGAGACUGAGAUAACAAAAAGAUGAUUUUUUUUUUCUGAGUAAGCCAGUGCUCAAGAGUGAAUAAUUUUGAAGCCAAAUAGGGAUUUCAGUUUCUAUAUGGAGCCUUAACCAUAACUUCCCUGGGGAAUUUUCCAAGUCUGCAAAAUAAUACCUUAAAAUAAAUACUUGCAAAUCCAUAGCACUAUUCAUGUGAGCCUAAGCAUCGUUAAGCCUUAGAUGACAUAUUCCAUCUUGCAGACAGUGAUAUAGAAACACAGAAGCAUUAAGUGACUUUGGUAAUGCCACAGAAGGUCAACUAAAGCUGAGUCAGUAACAAUAUAUCUCAGAAGUAUCUAAAAGGAGAAUCAGUUCUAGGGGAUUUUCAGGUUUAGAAGAUUCUGAAAUAUCUUAGGAGGGUAGUUCUCCACAAAAACCGUCACCAGGGUACUUGAUGGAAAUGCAAAUUCUCAGGUUCCUCUCAGACCACUGGAUGUGCUGAAUAGCAGAUUGUACACAACAAAAAAGAUCAGUGAACUUGAUGCUGGGUCAACAAAAUUCUCCAGACUGUAGAACA